This 1114-nucleotide unclassified non-coding RNA is filed under the name Hevea brasiliensis (rubber tree). Lineage: Eukaryota; Viridiplantae; Streptophyta; Magnoliopsida; Malpighiales; Euphorbiaceae. The record is from RNAcentral.
UUUUUUUUGGCCCAGGCAUAUUGCAUUGGAGUGCACCACUCAAUUGCGGUGUUGGAAUUGUCGAGAACCUGGGCAUGUUGCUAGUAAUUGUCCCAAUGAGGGCAUUUGUCAUUCAUGUGGCAAGUCUGGACAUCGUGCCAGAGAUUGCCCAAAUCCUGAGAUGUCACCUGGAGACUUGAGGCUAUGCAACAAUUGCUAUAAGCCAGGGCAUAUUGCUGCUGAGUGUACAAAUGAUAAAGCAUGUAAGAACUGCAGGAAAACUGGCCACGUAGCACGCGAUUGUCAGAAUGAACCUGUUUGCAACUUGUGUAACAUAGCUGGGCAUGUGGCAAGGCAGUGCCCAAAGGGUGAUAAUGUUGCAGAGAGAGGUGUUUGGGGUCGGAGCAGUGGAUACCGGGAUGUGAUCUGCCGUACCUGCAACCAGGUGGGCCACAUGAGCAGGGAUUGUAUGGGUCCCAAUCCCAUGAUCAUCUGUCACAACUGUGGUGGCAGGGGCCACAGGGCAUUUGAGUGCCCAUCAGGAAGAUUGGCAGACCGUGGAUUCCGGAGGUACUAAUAUAAGUCGAGUGUUUGGUUUUGCUAGUAAUAUGGCUUUGAUACCAAUGAAAGUCUUCCUAUUUGUUGUUUGCAGCCUAUAAUUUGGGCAAUUGGACUGUUGCUUUUGCACCAAAUUGUUUUACUAUGAGGGAUCCUUUUCUGAGAUCCCACUGUUUCUUUUAUGUUUAGACUUUGUAGACGUGACGCGUUAUAUACCAUUGAACUGAAGUUUCGCUAUUGCUGGUGUUGAUUUGAUUUGAAGUUCAAUGUUCAAGUGUCUGUGCACUGGCUCUUUCUACCAACGCCUUGAGCUGAUAUGGAAUAAAUGGGUUCUUGGUUGCUCGACCGUCUGGAUUUCUCCAGACGAAGAUUCUCAAACUGAAGGUAUUGCUAUUGGGAGAUACUGUUAUUGUGACACGGUUUGGAAUUGUCAAUUUUCUGGCGAAUCGUGUAAAAUUUGUGGAUAUUUAUUUAUGGGUGGUUUAAUUUUGCUUGGGUUUAACUCGAAUUUUAGGAUUUACCUCGAGAGAUCUCCUUGGACGAAACUGAAUUUAGGGCAAAUAGUGGUAUAUAGGGA